GUAGUUGUAUCCUGGCGUCAGGACGAACGCUGGCGGCGUGCUUAACACAUGCAAGUCGAACGAAGCUUGAUGAAUGAUUUCUUCGGAAUGAAUUCAGAUAUGACUGAGUGGCGGACGGGUGAGUAACGCGUGAGCAACCUGCCCUUCGGAGGGGGAUAGCGUUUGGAAACGAACGGUAAUACCGCAUAAUGUUAGAUGAUGGCAUCAUCGUCUAACCAAAACUCCGGUGCCGAAGGAUGGGGCUCGCGUUGGAUUAGAUAGUUGGUGGGGUAACGGCCUACCAAGUCGACGAUCCAUAGCCGGACUGAGAGGUUGAACGGCCACAUUGGGACUGAGACACGGCCCAGACUCCUACGGGAGGCAGCAGUGGGGAAUAUUGCACAAUGGGGGAAACCCUGAUGCAGCAACGCCGCGUGAAGGAAGACGGUUUUCGGAUUGUAAACUUCUGUUCUUAGGGAAGAAGAAAGUGACGGUACCUAAGGAGCAAGCCACGGCUAACUACGUGCC
This 507-nucleotide ribosomal RNA is filed under the name uncultured organism. RNAcentral describes it as "SSU rRNA". It matches the Rfam family "Bacterial small subunit ribosomal RNA", at positions 1 to 509 of the family's 1533-position model. The record is from RNAcentral.